Molecule: RNA transcript, 716 nt
Organism: Oryza brachyantha (malo sina)
Lineage: Eukaryota; Viridiplantae; Streptophyta; Magnoliopsida; Poales; Poaceae
Exons: 2
Source: RefSeq, a predicted model, not a curated record
CACUCCCUCUUGUCGUCACAUCCGUGAGCAGCAGGGCAUGCCGGGGUAUCUUCCAUGUUUCAUUAUCUCCGAUCGGCCAGCUAAAACUCGUCCUUGCAUCCUCUCAUCAUCCGUCACCAAGUUCGGAGGUUCAACUAAACCCCCAUGUCCCACAUUAGAUCCGCCGUUGGCAGCAGCAAACAAAAAGAUGAUGAAGAAGAAGAACAAGACCAGCUUUGGGGAUCACGAGUGGAGAUCAGCUUUCCCGAGUUCCAUCGAUACUCCGAGCAAUUGCUUGACAACGUUUCUAAACUCUGCUAUCCGGAGCUUGACGAGAUCAUAGAGCACCUUGCACGCUAUCGCAUUAGAUUCUAUGUUUAUAGCUUUAGCCCUCUCGUGUUUGUGUUAAUAAUUCCUUGUUUAAUCAUCUUGUUUCAAUUAGGUCUUGCCUUUGUUUAGAUGUUUGCAGCAGAGUCCGGAGAUGAGCUGAAAGAUCCAACAUAUUACUCUCUGGAUGAAUUUCGGGAGGAGAGGUAUUUCGUGCGGUAUGAGAAGGAUAAAAGUCUUGGUCAGUACAUCCAUCCUGACCACAUCCGCCUUGCAGGCUUGAGUGAUUACCAUAAACUUGUGCUUAUAAGUGUAAGUGACCGCUCUAGCAGCCUUAAGCCCGUAAGCUACUUUCUUUAGUUGAACUGGUUGCUUUAUAGGUCAAUUGAAUCUUAGCCAGUUUCUUCUUA